AGCGAACGCUGGCGGCAGGCUUAACACAUGCAAGUCGAGCGGCCACUUUCGGGUGUCAGCGGCGGACGGGUGAGUAACGCGUGGGAACGUGCCCUCUGGUUCGGAAUAACUCAGGGAAACUUGAGCUAAUACCGGAUACGCCCUUUUGGGGAAAGGCUUGCUGCCGGAGGAUCGGCCCGCGUCUGAUUAGCUAGUUGGUGAGGUAACGGCUCACCAAGGCGACGAUCAGUAGCUGGUCUGAGAGGAUGAUCAGCCACACUGGGACUGAGACACGGCCCAGACUCCUACGGGAGGCAGCAGUGGGGAAUAUUGGACAAUGGGCGCAAGCCUGAUCCAGCCAUGCCGCGUGAGUGAUGAAGGCCUUAGGGUUGUAAAGCUCUUUUAUCCGGGACGAUAAUGACGGUACCGGAGGAAUAAGCCCCGGCUAACUUCGU
RNAcentral lists this ribosomal RNA (434 nucleotides) under uncultured bacterium. RNAcentral's name for it is "partial 16S ribosomal RNA". It matches the Rfam family "Bacterial small subunit ribosomal RNA", at positions 29 to 506 of the family's 1533-position model. The record is from RNAcentral.